UACAGAGGUCCCAAGCGUUGUUCGGAUUCAUUGGGCGUAAAGGGUGCGUAGGCGGCGCGGUAAGUCGGGUGUGAAAUCUCGGAGCUUAACUCCGAAACUGCAUUCGAUACUGCGUUGCUUGAGGACUGGAGAGGAGACUGGAGUUUACGGUGUAGCAGUGAAAUGCGUAGAUAUCGUAAGGAAGACCAGUGGCGAAGGCGGGUCUCUGGACAGUUACUGACGCUGAGGCACGAAGGUCAGGGGAGCAAACGGG
Molecule: ribosomal RNA, 253 nt
Filed under: uncultured bacterium
Lineage: Bacteria
Description: partial 16S ribosomal RNA
Rfam family: Bacterial small subunit ribosomal RNA
Source: RNAcentral